GUGAAUCUUCAAGCAUGAUGGUUUUGGACUCCUCAAAAUUUUUAUAAUUUUUAAACCAAUCUUUGUCAUAACAGACAUGACGGUUUACACCAGAGUCAGCCCACCAUCCCUCAACAUUAACCACCAUGUUUAUAUCUGUUAUCACUGCCACAAAAGAUUCUUCGGUAAUGUUUGCCUGAGGUGUAGGCUCAUGUUUUCGAUAUUUGCAAGAUCAAGCAAUAUGCCCACUUUUACCACAGACAAAGCACGGUUCUUUUUCAUGUACAUGUUGAUUUUUUGCUUGGUUAUUCUCACCAUAUUUAUUAUUGGGAUAUCUAC
This 318-nucleotide long non-coding RNA is filed under the name Capsicum annuum. RNAcentral describes it as "long non-coding RNA (CANN_LNC009027)". The record is from RNAcentral. Lineage: Eukaryota; Viridiplantae; Streptophyta; Magnoliopsida; Solanales; Solanaceae.